GCGGAUCUGAAGGGAACAGGCAUACCUCGAUGGCUUAAAACCAUUGGCGUCCCGGUUCGACUCCGGGGGUCCGUACCA
RNAcentral lists this transfer RNA (78 nucleotides) under Gammaproteobacteria bacterium. RNAcentral's name for it is "tRNA-Leu". Lineage: Bacteria; Pseudomonadati; Pseudomonadota; Gammaproteobacteria. The record is from RNAcentral.